CAUGCUGUUAUAACUAGUCCCUCUGUAGUGAAACAUGAUGUUAUAACUAGUCCCUCUGUAGUGAAACAUGAUGUUAUAACUAGUCCCUCUGUAGUGAAAAAUGAUGUUAUAACUAAUCCCUCUGUAGUGAAACAUGCUGUUAUAACUAGUCCCUCUGUAGUGAAACAUGAUGUUAUAACUAGUCCCUCUGUAGUGAAACAUGAUGUUAUAACUAGUCCCUCUGUAGUGAAACAUGGUGUUAUAACUAGUCCCUCUGUAGUGAAACAUGAUGUUAUAACUAGUCCCUCUGUGGUGAAACAUGAUGUUAUAACUAGUCCCUCUGUGUCUGUAGUGAAACAUGAUGUAAUAACUAGUCCCUCUGUAUCUGUAGUGAAACAUGAUGUUAUAACUAGUCCCUCUGUAGUGAAACAUGAUGUUAUAACUAGUCCCUCUCUAGUGAAACAUGAUGUUAUAACUAGUCCCUCUGUGGUGAAACAUGAUGUUAUAACUAGUCCCUCUGUAGUGAAACAUGCUGUUAUAACUAGUCCCUCUGUAGUGAAACAUGAUGUUAUAACUAGUCCCUCUGUAGUGAAACAUGAUGUUAUAACUAGUCCCUCUGUAGUGAAACAUGAUGUUAUAACUAGUCCCUCUGUAGUGAAACAUGAUGUUAUAACUAGUCCCUCUGUAGUGAAACAUGAUGUUAUAACUAGUCCCUCUGUGGUGAAACAUGAUGUUAUAACUAGUCCCUCUGUAGUGAAAUAUGAUGUAAUAACUAGUCCCUCUGUAUCUGUAGUGAAACAUGCUGUUAUAACUAAUCCCUCUGUAGUGAAACAUGAUGUAAUAACUAGUCCCUCUGUAUCUGUAGUGAAACAUGAUGUUAUAACUAGUCCCUCUGUAGUGAAACAUGAUGUUAUAACUAGUCCCUCUCUAGUGAAACAUGAUGUUAUAACUAGUCCCUCUGUAGUGAAACAUGAUGUAAUAACUAGUCCCUCUGUAUCUGUAGUGAAACAUGCUGUUAUAACUAGUCCCUCUGUGGUGAAACAUGAUGUUAUAACUAGUCCCUCUGUAGUGAAACAUGAUGUAAUAACUAGUCCCUCUGUAUCUGUAGUGAAACAUGAUGUUAUAACUAGUCCCUCUGUAGUGAAACAUGAUGUUAUAACUAGUCCCUCUCUAGUGAAACAUGAUGUUAUAACUAGUCCCUCUGUAGUGAAACAUGAUGUAAUAACUAGUCCCUCUGUAUCUGUAGUGAAACAUGCUGUUAUAACUAGUCCCUCUGUGGUGAAACAUGAUGUUAUAACUAGUCCCUCUGUAUCUGUAGUGAAACAUGAUGUUAUAACUAGUCCCUCUGUAGUGAAACAUGCUGUUAUAACUAGUCCCUCUGUAUCUGUAGUGAAACAUGAUGUUAUAACUAAUCCCUCUGUAGUGAAACAUGAUGUUAUAACUAGUCCCUCUGUAGUGAAACAUGAUGUUAUAACUAGUCCCUCUGUAGUGAAACAUGAUGUUAUAACUAGUCCCUCUGUGUCUGUAGUGAAACAUGAUGUAAUAACUAGUCCCUCUGUAUCUGUGGUGAAACAUGAUGUUAUAACUAGUCCCUCUGUAGUGAAACAUGAUGUUAUAACUAGUCCCUCUGUGUCUGUAGUGAAACAUGAUGUAAUAACUAGUCCCUCUGUAUCUGUAGUGAAACAUGAUGUUAUAACUAGUCCCUCUGUAGUGAAACAUGAUGUUAUAACUAGUCCCUCUCUAGUGAAACAUGAUGUUAUAACUAGUCCCUCUGUGGUGAAACAUGAUGUUAUAACUAGUCCCUCUGUAGUGAAACAUGCUGUUAUAACUAGUCCCUCUGUAGUGUAA
Long non-coding RNA from Oncorhynchus mykiss (rainbow trout), 1827 nucleotides. NCBI's taxonomy places the organism in Eukaryota, Metazoa, Chordata, Actinopteri, Salmoniformes, Salmonidae. The record is from Ensembl.